CUAGUUUUUUAUUUUCUACCAAUACAAGAUUUAGAAUGUUAUUUAUUUUUAGUUUUAAACCAGACCUCCUACCAUAGUUGAUAGUAUGUUCCUUCUGUACAGUAACAAACUGUUGCUCUCUCUCUCUCUCUCUCACCGAUUUUCUCUCAGCACCUGCCCGAACAGCUGAUUCUUUAUUUACCACUCAAUUUUCGAUGGAAAACGCCAGCGCGAAGACAAUUGGAAAUCGCUUAGUUAAAUAAAUAGAGAUCCGUGGUCGCAUGAUGUUUGGGAACCUAAAAAAGAAGCUGAGCAGUGCGAUUCAGGAGGGUCUUGUGAUCUCGGAGAGUCUGCAACAGCAAUAUCGCCAGCGUGUCAGUUCCGGGAACUCGGGGAGCAGCCAAGCCAGUGGUUUUACGACCCCCACUUCGCCAUUGGGCCUCAACGAGAGUUUGUCAUCCAGCAGGAGCAGUAGUCUAUCCCUUAGUGCUCCCUUUCAGCUAACCGAUGGAGUGCCCAGCCAUCUAAAUGUGGCAGCGGGUUGCAGUUUGCUGGCCAAAUAUGAGGACGAUUGGCAGCAGAUCCAUGGCGCCAACGAAGAGAACGCUGAGAAGGCUGCAAAGAUUGCUUGCCAAAUCUCCGGAAUCCAAAACAAGGCCAGCCAUCAGCGUAGGAUCAUUAGUGAGCUGAACAACAGUCUGGCGGGGAUUCCCACGUUGAUCGCUCAAUUGCAGGCGAGCUCACAGGUCCUUAAUUCCCUAGAGGAAAUGGGUCAGCAAUUAGAGGUUGAGUUGGAGAAGCUGGAAGAUCUAUGCGAGGAGUGCGAGCUACAAGAGUUCAUCCUCGAGCAGCAGUUUCAGCUUUCCAGACACAAGCAAAAGAAACUAAACGAACUGGAGCAGUUUCGCCAGCAAAUUGCCCAGAAACACCAAUCCAAAAUCAAAGAUCAGGAGCAGACCCUACUGAAGCUACAGAGGGAACGACAGGCUGUCUUCGACGACGCCUUCCGAGAAGAUAUGGAGGAGUACAAACAGCACGGCCAGCUGACAAAAAUUCAAACCACCAGCAACAAGUUGGCUCUGGAGGAAGUCGUCCUUGAAGCCAGCGAAGUGGAAACAAAGGAUGCUUUGGAGCAAUUUCUGAAUGGUUAACUCCGUUGUUUGCUUAUCUUGCAAAAGACUACAAUUUGUGCCUUAAAGUGCAAUAAGCAGUCUUACACCUGUCGCAGCUUUUAUUGCUCCCCGCAUUGCCCCCCAAGUUUCCGUACCCAUUCCUGGAUUUCGAGCUUAUGGGCGC
Molecule: RNA transcript, 1275 nt
Organism: Drosophila yakuba
Lineage: Eukaryota; Metazoa; Arthropoda; Insecta; Diptera; Drosophilidae
Gene: Dysb
Gene name: dysbindin protein homolog
Exons: 3
Source: RefSeq, a predicted model, not a curated record